Molecule: long non-coding RNA, 982 nt
Organism: Lepidothrix coronata (blue-crowned manakin)
Lineage: Eukaryota; Metazoa; Chordata; Aves; Passeriformes; Pipridae
Exons: 4
Source: RefSeq, a predicted model, not a curated record
GUGGCUGCCCGCCGGCCUUUGCUGAGGAUGUCAGCGUCAUCCCUGAGGCAUAGCGGGAAGAGGAUGGUUGGGGAAUUCGAGGACUUCUCAGGAAGGAUUGGGGGUGCUGCUCCACGCUGGGACCCUCCUCAAGGGCUGGGUGUGGGCACCAUGAAGCAGAUUGGACCCGAAAGAUGGCUGCUCCCGGCAGGAGCCUUUUUUCAAGCUCUGCUUCAUGAGAUGCACUAAAGGCUGGCAGGAGGAGCACUAGCCGGGCAGCCACCAGAAGCCAAAAGUUCAAUGACUUCAUCUUUGGGCCCACUGAUGAUUGAACUAUUUACAGAAGUAGAUGGCAUUGAACUUUUUUGCAUUGUUUCAGUUGAGAGUGAUUCCUGGCAUGAGGAAAACAGAAGCAGGUGUGCUGAAAUAAAAUCUGCUCUGGAGGGGGAGGCAUGUCCCCAGCCACUUGCACUUAGGCUCUGCUCUUCCAGAAUGGCCAUGAACACUGGAAAGCCUGCAGUUCGAUUUAAAAGAGGACUUCUGGCCAGUGAUUGACUUGGCAAGGGGGAGUGUUUUUUCGUAUUUGACAAAGGCCUUAAAAGUAAAACUGGAGUGAAAGGAGGUUGAAUGGGAAAGCUGGGAAUCGGGUCAUCAUGACACUGGUCAGUUUGAAGCAUUGUGACACAGCAGAGCUGUCCCAUAGGCAACAGGCAUGGCCUUUGGCGUGCUCAUACCUCCCAGGAGCUGAGCGCCUGGACCCACAGAUGCAGUGUGGAUCCCUCCCAGCCAGCAGAAUUGGUUCCCAUUUCCACUGCCAGGGGCAGUGGCUCUUGUAGAGUUAAUUAAUCUCUUCAUACAGUGUAAUUAACCUCUUGGAAUGACUUAUAAACAACAUGUUGUAAAAUCCAAGCAUUUAAAUGUGACAUAAGUGCCAAGAUUGUCUUAAAAAGCCUCCACACUGAAUCCUUUCAAAUAACACAUUUUGUGGUCUUUCUGACAUAGU